Molecule: ribosomal RNA, 749 nt
Filed under: uncultured bacterium
Lineage: Bacteria
Description: bacterial SSU rRNA
Rfam family: Bacterial small subunit ribosomal RNA
Source: RNAcentral
AGAGUUUGAUCCUGGCUCAGAACGAACGCUGGCGGCAGGCCUAACACAUGCAAGUCGAACGUGAAGCCACCUUCGGGUGGUGGAAAGUGGCAGACGGGUGAGUAACGCGUGGGAACGUGCCUUUCGGUUCGGAAUAACCCAGGGAAACUUGGGCUAAUACCGGAUACGCCCUUCGGGGGAAAGAUUUAUCGCCGAAAGAUCGGCCCGCGUCGGAUUAGCUUGUUGGUGGGGUAACGGCCUACCAAGGCGACGAUCCGUAGCUGGUCUGAGAGGAUGAUCAGCCACACUGGGACUGAGACACGGCCCAGACUCCUACGGGAGGCAGCAGUGGGGAAUAUUGGACAAUGGGCGCAAGCCUGAUCCAGCCAUGCCGCGUGGGUGAAGAAGGUUUUCGGAUUGUAAACCUCUGUCCUUGGUGAAGAAGAUGACUGUAGCCGAGGAGGAAGCCACGGCUAACUACGUGCCAGCAGCCGCGGUAAUACGUAGGUGGCAAGCGUUGUCCGGAAUUACUGGGUGUAAAGGGAGCGUAGGCGGGAAUGCAAGUUGAAUGUUAAAACUACAGGCUCAACCUGUAGUCGCGUUCAAAACUGUAUUUCUUGAGUGAAGUAGAGGUAGGCGGAAUUCCUAGUGUAGCGGUGAAAUGCGUAAAUAUUAGGAGGAACACCAGUGGCGAAGGCGGCCUACUGGGCUUUAACUGACGCUGAGGCUCGAAAGCGUGGGUAGCAAACAGGAUUAGAUACCCUGGUAGU